GCNGGACCNGACUGCUUUCCNGGGUGGGACUAAGCCAUGCAAGUNGAAUGGGANNNNUAAUUUUCCCAUGGCGAACUGCUCAGUAACACGUGAUCAACUUACCCUAAAGUGGAAAAUAACCUCGGGAAACUGAGGAUAAUAAUCCAUAAUUGAGGAUGCCUGGAAGGGUUUCUCAAUAAAAGCGCAAUUUAAAUGGUAAUUGCAGCGCUUUAGGAUAGGAUCGCGCCCGAUUAUGGCUGUUGGUGAGGUAAUGGCUCACCAAACCUAUUAUCGGUAAGGGCCGUGAGAGCGGGAGCCCUGAGAUGGGUACUGAGACAAGGACCCAGGUCUUACGAGACGCAGCAGGCACGAAAUCUUCACAAUGCACGAAAGUGUGAUGAGGUUACCCGGAGUGCUACAAUGUAGCUGUGGUAGGUGAGUAAGAUUCCCUACUAGGAAGGAGAGGGCAAGGCUGGUGCCAGCCGCCGCGGUAAAACCAGCUCUUCAAGUGGUCGGGAUUUUUAUUGGGCUUAAAGUGUCCGUAGCCGGUAUAUUAAGUUCUUGGUUAAAUCUGAUAGCCUAACUAUCUGUUGGCUAAGAAUACUACUAUACUAGGGGGCGGGAGAGGUUUGAGGUACUCCAGGGGUAGCGGUGAAAUGCGAUAAUCCUUGGGGGACCACCAGUGGCGAAGGCGUCAGACUGGAACGCGCCCGACGGUGAGGGACGAAAGCCAGGGGAGCGAACCGGAUUAGAUACCCGGGUAGUCCUGGCCGUAAACGAUGCGUGCUAGGUGUUGGUAUGGCUAUGAGCCGUAUCAGUGCCGUAGGGAAACCGAUAAGCGCGCCGCCUGGGGAGUACGGUCGCAAGACUGAAACUUAAAGGAAUUGGCGGG
RNAcentral lists this ribosomal RNA (871 nucleotides) under uncultured archaeon. RNAcentral describes it as "bacterial SSU rRNA". It matches the Rfam family "Archaeal small subunit ribosomal RNA", at positions 16 to 872 of the family's 1478-position model. The record is from RNAcentral.